ACUGAGCGAGGCCAGGGAUCAAACCUGCAUCCUCAUGGAUACUAGCUGGGUUCAUUUCUGCUGUACUACAGCGGAAACUCCAAAGGCUCUAGUUAUAAUCUAAGCUUAAAUAUCUAAGGCCCAAAAGAGGUGGUGCAGUAAGACUAUAACCUGGGAUAGGCAAAAAUACUUUGGAAAGAUGUAUUGGUUGUUAAUUACAUGUGGAAACAGAGAAAUCAGAUAUUAUAGGGUUUCAUGCCUCACCUCACUAUAUAUGAAGGAAAAUGGUUACCUUCAUAUAUAGUAAGGCCAUUUUACUUUCUGUUUUAAUUUUUUUAUUUUAAUUACAGAUCUAGGUUUUGUCCCAUUGUUCUAAUACAAUACAUCUUUACUGUUUCACUUAGUGUUCUUAAAUAACAGUGGUUCAUAGAUCCCUUAUGGAAACCACAAAAGCAGAUUUCCUGUUGAAAAAACAUGGUAUAAUGUGUAGGUAACAUUGAUUUAAUGUUUCUUAAGUUAUUGGCAACCUAGGAUAUUUUUCUGCCUUAUCUGAUUAUGUUGACACAACUGUGGGCUGCACUGCUGUCACAUUGUCACAUCUGAAAUAUAUUUUAACUGUUGUGUUAUGCAGUGCAUAAUUUACAUGCUAUCCUUACUAAUCCUGAAGCCAAGAGAAGGAGUUAGAAAAGGAAGCUUUGUGUCUCACAGGAAAUAAAUAUUAUUUUCUAAAUCAAUUCAGAAGAUUUUAGUUCCAAAAAUAUUAGAGAUGGUUGGAGGGUUUUUAUAGAAGUUCUAUAUAACAAACUAAAGUGAAGGAUUACUUUUUAUUAAGAUAGUUUUGAAUAAGGAUAGCUGUAAAAAUUGUAUAUAUGGAAACCUGAGAAAUUCAUUUCAAAGUUGAUAAAACAGGGGAAAGUUGGGUUGUAUAAAGAUACAUUUUAAAAGUUCAAGACUGGUGGAGUCAUAUUCUACAUAGACAAAUGGUGUUCACUGCUGUCAUCCUAGAUUGGUAGCUCUCAGCACUUUCUGCACAAUUUUAAUCAUUUGGGAACUUUUAAAAAAAGAUUGUUGAUGGUUGGCCUUAUUUCCAGUAGAUUCUAAUUUGACUGACCUGGAGUAUGUGAGACUCUGGUAUCAGUAUUAUUUAAAUUUCUGCUAGUGAUUCUAUUUGCAUUCAGAAGAGAAAAGCACUGCCCUAGAACUUUUGUCAAUUUGGAAACGGCAUUGUUGAAUUUUAUAUAAUAAUAACAUUAGGACAAUGUAACCUUAAGCAAUAGCAUUAUAAAAUCCUGCUCACUACUGAAAAUAAACAUGUUGCGAUGAAUAAACAUAUAAGCAUUUAUAUAUAUAUACACAUAUAUAUAUAUACUGUAUACAAAUACCAGUUUCUAUCAUAUUUUGUAGGAACUUCCUCUGCCUUGAGAUGAGUGAGAAUUUAUUUGAAGAAAAACCCUUCAGAUUUAUGAAAUUAUCUUUGUGGAACAGAAAACACAAAACUGAUCAAUAUUUUUAAUUUACCUUCUAGUGUAUUUAUUCUUUAUUUACACAAUAUAGUUUUACUGAGUAAUAAGUAUAUGCCAGGUACUACUAUAAGUGCUUGGGGUGGGACAGUGAAUAAGAGACAAAAUUCUUGCCUUCAUAGAGCUUAUCUUCUGGUAAUGGGGAUUUAAAAUUCAUUUAAAAUUUAAUAUCAUAGGUUUAUUUUCUUUGUAUUUCUUUUUAGGUUGACUAUGAAUUUCCAUCUUCUGUAAUGAUAUAAAAUUCCUUUUUAAAAUAAGCACUUACAUUUUAAAAUUGAGUCUAAUAAAAUAUAUAAAAUUACUAAUAAUCCAGGUAAUACUUUGAUGUGUCAAAAUUAUGAAGAAACAUGAAUGACAGAUACUUAGCCACAUUCUUGGCAUCCAUAUGUGGAUGCUGAAAUAGCUUAGUUGCUCAAAGACAUAGGAGAAAAUAGAGUUGUAAGCUUAACUUAUAUUUUUGGAAGUAUAUUCUUUUAGAGACAUUUUAGUAUUCUUAAUUCAGCAUAUGUUUUAUUUAAACUUUGUAUAAGAAUAUUAGCUGCCAUUCAGUAAAAUCAGAUAUAUUCUACAUUCUAUUCUGAAACUUAUCAUCCUGUAUGCAAAAUAAUAAAAAGCUGGAAGACAGAUGAAGGAGAAAGAAUCCAGAAGAGAAUAAGCAAUUAAAAUAUGCUUCUGAAUGGAGAUAGAAGUGAUAAAGGCCGUCCUUGAGAAUAACGUUGAUUUGAAACAGAAGAGCACAAGCCUUAUUGUUCACUUGAGAGAACAGACCCAUAAUGGUCUUUACUAUGAGUUAGUGUUAUGUUUGGAAACAUUAGCAUUCAAAUUAAGUGUCAUGCAUACUAUUACUGUGCAUGUUUGCACAUGACUAAAUAAAACCUCCAGAAAAGGCAAUGUCUGUAUGAAUGCAGUGUUUCUAGCAUUAUUUUUCUGUGAGUCUUUCCCUGGUGGUAGAUCUGAGUCACUGAAAAUCCUCAGUCAUUGAAAAGGUCAUACUAAAAAACUGACCUGAAUAAAUGCAAAUUAUAAAAUAAACCAUAGUUUACUACUUUAUUGUACUAAGCGAUACUAUGACUUACAUGGCAUAGUUAGUUUCCUAGAAUGAUCUGUUAGAACAAUUACUUUUGAUAUCUAAUGAUCUAUCAAUCUUUAAUUCAAGGCUUAAUAAAAGACACCCACGACCCUGAGGAUAUGGCAAUAAAUAUAAUGCAAAGUAAUUUAAAAAGAAUUAGGAUGUAGGAUUUUAUCAUUUCUAUACUUAGAGCUUUGAGAACCACCUUUAUACUUGUUGAGUUUGACCUACAACUCCUCAUAGACAGACCUGAAGAUUGAAUUUUCUGUUAUUGUGAAAUAAGAACUGGGAAAAAGUGGGGAUUAGUUGUGAUAAGAUCAUUGUUGAUUUGAAGCAAUGUAAUUUCUUGGGUUUACUAACAAUGAAACACUCAAGAAAGUUUUCUUGUUUCCAAGUCCAAUAAAUAUUUUAAACUCACAAGGUAAUGUACUUUUUUUGGUACAGAUAAUAUCUGUUUUUGGAUAAGAUGUUCUUGUGCGUUUGUAUUUAUUGCGCUUCCAUUUGUACAAACCCAAUGCAUUUUUAUACUUUAGCAAAAAUAGAGAUUCAUUUUGGAGAUGGUUUUAUCAUUUCUCCUUCAUUUCUCUCAGAUUAUUCUUUAAAUUUACAAAUAUGUUCUUUAAUUUUUUAAUGGCCCUAAAAUAAUAAUCAGCUUCUUAAAAGUUUUCUUUUCUUAGGAAAAAAUAUGUUUAAAGUAUGGAAAUUUAUGUUAAUAUAGUAUUUAGAAACUGAAUAAAAUGCACUGAUUGAAGAGUAUAUUUAUCCACUUUGAAAUGAAAAUUAAAAGAAAUAUAUAAAAUGUAACCAGGCGUGCCUCUAAGUGUCUCAGUGCAAAGAAAUCUUUUUGAGCAUAGAAUCACGUGAUUUAGGAUAUAUUUUGAUGGCCAUGUAGAGGGGCAAUGAAUGAACCAUUCUGCUUAAUUUUAUUUUACUAGGAAGUGUUGGAACUCUAGGGCUCUAUAUCAGGUCCUCUGUUUUCCUCUAGUCCCCUCUACCAGAGAGGAAGAGAAUUGAAUUGGGCGUAUAGAGAACACGAAGAGAUUUUAAAAACAGAAACAACAAAAGGUCUGUGUUCUUCUCUCCCAGAAUAAUGCAAUUGGGGUAGGAGGGAAGGAAGUCAGGCAUAUUUAUUUUAGGAAAAAAAUAUACCCUCCCUAACCUUUCUUAAGAAUCCCUAUGAGGCAGAAUAAUAAGAGUUGUACAAAGGAAGUAAGUAAAUUAAGAGAAGUUCUAGAAAAAAAUUACGUGAUUCGAAAGGAAAAAUGGGGAGUUAUGAUUGGAGACAGCAAAAGAUAUUAACAUUCAUUUGUUUCCCAUUUUUCUCCCUACUAUGAGUCACAAAGUGUGCUAGAAGCUGGGGAGACAGGAAGCAGAAGCAAAUCAAGUAUCUGUUCUCCUGGGGCCUCUAUCCAAGUGAGUGAGACAAACUCAAAUAUAAAAUUGCAAUUGUACCAAAUGACAUGAGAUACUAAAAACUGCUCAAGUCACAGGGAUCAGGGGGACUUCUUCAAGGAGGUGACCCAAGUGGACUUCAUGGAGAAACCUCCAUUUCUGCUGAGGAUUCUUGUCUGUAUACAUCACUAUUAGGAUAUAGCCUGCAUAGAAAGAUGUGUAAAUCACUGCUGUU
This 4195-nucleotide long non-coding RNA is filed under the name Sus scrofa (pig). RNAcentral's name for it is "lncRNA (ENSSSCG00065048085.1)". Lineage: Eukaryota; Metazoa; Chordata; Mammalia; Artiodactyla; Suidae. The record is from RNAcentral.